GGUAAGUUUUCCCAACGUUAUGAUAACUAAAAUGCAAACAAAACAACCUUUGUUGGCUUGAAUAUGGCGAAUACAAUAUCGAGUCUCAAGAAGUGUAUGAAACGUAAAUAAAACCAGGAUAUUACUUUUUUCAAAACUACUUUUUGCCGAAAAUAGUGAAAGGUAGAAUAGUCAUUUUUGUUCUAUGCACUGUCAUAAACACGAAGAAAAUAAUAUAGGGAUUAAACAUCGAUUAUGAUAAUAUUAUAGUUCUCAUGAUAUAUGAAUUUAAAAUGAUGAGAAAUCACUCUACUUGAAAUAAUUUUGAGCAUUCUGAACAUAGGGUUAUUUUGUUGUUUAAUUUUUAUAUCUUUAUAAACAGAUUUUGAUUGAAGGCGCAUAAAAAACAGUUAAGUGAAAUUGAAUUCCGCUCGACAGUUUUUGGAUCGUUGUGAAAUUUGUAUAUUGUAUCAAGUUUGUGACUUAAAGUAUUCUUCUGCUUUUUUAUUGAUGAUAGAAAAGUAUUCUGGAUUCAUUCAAUGUUUAUAAUGUCGAUGGUGACUAAGUUUCAACUAGUUUACUUGGAAACAAGUUAUUUUCAAGUUAUGAAAAGAUAAGUUUUUUCAGUAUGGCAUUACAACGUAACGACAACAUACUUUUAGCCGGCAUAACAAUUAGUAGAAACUGCGCUUUUUGAGUCAUGCAAGCAGUUAGAUGUUAGUAACAAUCACUCAAAUAUCUGGUUGCAAACUAGUCACAAACAAGCUAGCGUAACAUAAAUUGUUACUUGGGUGUAAAGCUUGCUGUUCUCGAUGUAGGCGUUAAGGCUAAUACGCAAUAGGAAACUUUCGCGCAUUCCGGGGGAAGUAUUGUUUUCGCCAAAUCGAGAUGUUAUUGCAGUUAAACCUGUGACACGACGCCUCUGUUUUGAUAACGCAACCGCACCUUGUGAAUGAUGAGAGGAUUGUCAUGAGUGUUUUUAUAACGUUAGGUCAAGGUAUACACGCGGGGGAAGCUAGCACGGUAUUAACAAUACAACAUACUAUACAGAACGGUGUUUAAGGUGACCUAACUUUAUAUUUUGUUCAAUUUACAAUUAUAUUAUUACCCAGGUAAACUAAUGAACUAUAAAUCAUAAUUAUAAAGAAAAUUAUUCUCGAAUUCAACUCUGAUUACGAUUUCACAGAGAGCAAUAAUUAGGAAAUUUGUCGCACUUAACCUAAACUAAAAUUAUUACCAUUGAAGAUAGACGGUCUAAUUAAGCCUGUGGUGACAGAAAUUCUGUAGAUCAGUACGUGAUUUUGAAAGGUCUAUGAACCGAUAACACAGCCACUAAAGAUUUUGUAAUUAAUCUAUAAGGAAAUAAAUUACAAGAGACGGUUGUCAUCGGGUAACACCACCCAACCAACCAGCAACUGCAAACAAUGUACAACAAGGCGCAUCUACAGCAACUAGCAACGAAAUCAACAACAAUACCACGGCAAUGGAUGACGAGACGAACCACGAACAAACUGCCCCUCAAUCCUCGCAGGAGGAAAAUGGAAGCUCCUCUCCCCCUAGAAAAAGGUUGACAACGAGAUUCAAUACAAAAAAAAUUUUAUCUAAAAACUCAGUCAAAUCGGCCACGUAAAGCUUGUACGCAAAUAGGCCUGAAUAAAAUAUCUUUUAAAUAAAAAAAAAAGUGAAGUGAAUGUAGGUCCUUAUUAAGAAAGUCGCUUCUGUGACAAAAGUAAUUACUUGAAUGAACAGGGGCCCUUAUUACCGUUCUCACUUCCACUUUCACAUUCACUUCACUUGAUUUUACCUAUUACCGGUAUUACGCAUAGUGAAGUGAUCACUGUGGUAGAAAAAACUAAUUUUUUCAACAAAAUAUUGGUGGCGUGAUGUUCAUAAUGACAUCAAGUUCAUUCAAGUAAUUACUUUUGUCUCUAAAGCGACUUCCGUAAUAAGGACCUACAUUCACUUCACUUGAUUCCACCGUGAAGUGAUACCCAUAAUAAGGGUCACAGUCACUUCACUCGGUUUUCACCGUGUAGUGACACCGGUAAUAAGGGCCUGGAUGUCAUUAUGAACAUCACGCCACCAACAUUUUGUUGUAAAACCUGUUUUAAUCCACCUAGAGGUGUAAUGAUGCCUUUUUCAUAUCAAUCAUACUAUCAUAUAUAAUACUGUGGUAUUAUUCAAAAUAAUUCUCU
Long non-coding RNA from Malaya genurostris, 2174 nucleotides. RefSeq lists it as uncharacterized. NCBI's taxonomy places the organism in Eukaryota, Metazoa, Arthropoda, Insecta, Diptera, Culicidae. The record is from RefSeq and is a predicted model, not a curated record. The transcript has 3 exons.